This 253-nucleotide ribosomal RNA is filed under the name uncultured bacterium. RNAcentral describes it as "partial 16S ribosomal RNA". It matches the Rfam family "Bacterial small subunit ribosomal RNA", at positions 524 to 776 of the family's 1533-position model. The record is from RNAcentral.
UACGUAGGGUACAAGCAUUAAUCGGAAUUAUUGGGCGUAAAGGGCGCGUAGGCGGGGAUGUAAGUCAGGUGUGAAAUACCAAAGCUCAACUUUGGUGCUGCAUUUGAAACUGCAUUUCUUGAGGACUGACGGAGAAAGCGGAAUUCCAUGAGUAGCGGUGAAAUGCGUAGAUACAUGGAGGAACACCGGUGGCGAUAGCGGCUUUCUAGUUUUUACCUGACGCUGAGGCGCGAGAGCAAGGGGAGCAAACAGG